GAAUAUUGGACAAUGGGGGGAACCCUGAUCCAGCCAUGCCGCGUGUGUGAAGAAGGCCUUUUGGUUGUAAAGCACUUUAAGCGAGGGGGAGGAGCUCUUGGUUAGUACCUAAGAUGCUUGGACGUUACUGGCAGAGUAAGCACCCGCGACCUCUGUGCCAGCAGCCGCGGGAAUACAGAGGGUGCUAGCGUUGAUCGGAUUUACUGGGCGUAAAGCGCGCGUAGGGGGCCAAUUAAGUCAAAUGUGAAAUCCCCGAGCUUAACUUGGGAAUUGCAUUCGAUACUGGUUGGCUAGACUAUGGGAGAGGAUGGUAGAAUUCCAGGUGUAGCGGUGAAAUGCGUAGAGAUCUGGAGGAAUACCGAUGGCGAAGGCAGCCAUCUGGCCUAAUACUGACACUGAGGUGCGAAAGCAUGGGGAGCAAACA
This 424-nucleotide ribosomal RNA is filed under the name uncultured bacterium. RNAcentral describes it as "partial 16S ribosomal RNA". It matches the Rfam family "Bacterial small subunit ribosomal RNA", at positions 359 to 774 of the family's 1533-position model. The record is from RNAcentral.